This 486-nucleotide ribosomal RNA is filed under the name uncultured bacterium. RNAcentral describes it as "bacterial SSU rRNA". It matches the Rfam family "Bacterial small subunit ribosomal RNA", at positions 899 to 1397 of the family's 1533-position model. The record is from RNAcentral.
ACUCAAAGGAAUUGACGGGUCCCCGCACAAGCAGCGGAGCGUGUGGUUUAAUUCGUUGCUACACGAAGAACCUUACCUGGGUUUGACAUAGCAGUGGUAGGGAAGCGAAAGCGGACCGACCCUUCGGGGAGCUGUUACAGGUGUUGCAUGGCUGUCGUCAGCUCGUGUCGUGAGAUGUUCGGUUAAGUCCGCUAACGAGCGCAACCCGCGUUGUGUGUUACAAGUGUCACACAAUACCGCCGGUAUUAAGUCGGAGGAAGGUGCGGAUGACGUCAAGUCAGCAUGACCUUUAUAUCCAGGGCUACACACACGCUACAAUGGUCAGCACAAUAGGUUGCCAAGUCGUGAGACGGAGCCAAUCCUCCAAAGCUGGCCUCAGUUCAGAUUGUAGGCUGCAACCCGCCUGCAUGAAGUUGGAGUUGCUAGUAACCGCAGGUCAGCUAUACUGCGGUGAAUACGUUCCCGGGGAUUGUACACACCGCCCGU